AUGCAGCGACGCCGCGUGGGGGAUGAAGGCCUUCGGGUUGUAAACCCCUUUCAGCAGGGAAGAAGCGAAAGUGACGGUACCUGCAGAAGAAGCGCCGGCUAACUACGUGCCAGCAGCCGCGGUAAUA
RNAcentral lists this ribosomal RNA (127 nucleotides) under uncultured bacterium. Its description in RNAcentral is "partial 16S ribosomal RNA". It matches the Rfam family "Bacterial small subunit ribosomal RNA", at positions 386 to 525 of the family's 1533-position model. The record is from RNAcentral.